GGUCAAGAUGGUAAGGGCCCACGGUGGAUGCCUCGGCACCCGAGCCGAUGAA
RNAcentral lists this ribosomal RNA (52 nucleotides) under Thermus thermophilus. RNAcentral's name for it is "partial 23S ribosomal RNA". The record is from RNAcentral. Lineage: Bacteria; Thermotogati; Deinococcota; Deinococci; Thermales; Thermaceae.